Molecule: ribosomal RNA, 897 nt
Filed under: uncultured Bacteroidota bacterium
Lineage: Bacteria; Pseudomonadati; Bacteroidota
Description: bacterial SSU rRNA
Rfam family: Bacterial small subunit ribosomal RNA
Source: RNAcentral
GGAUCCAGACUUUGAUCAUGGCUCAGGAUGAACGCUAGCUACAGGCUUAACACAUGCAAGUCGAGGGGAAACGAUAGAGAAAGCUUGCUUUUUCUAGGCGUCGACCGGCGCACGGGUGAGUAACGCGUAUCCAACCUGCCCAUCACUUGGGGAUAACCUUGCGAAAGUAAGACUAAUACCCAAUGAUAUCUCAAGAAGACAUCUGAAUGAGAUUAAAGAUUUAUCGGUGAUGGAUGGGGAUGCGUCUGAUUAGCUUGUUGGCGGGGUAACGGCCCACCAAGGCGACGAUCAGUAGGGGUUCUGAGAGGAAGGUCCCCCACAUUGGAACUGAGACACGGUCCAAACUCCUACGGGAGGCAGCAGUGAGGAAUAUUGGUCAAUGGGCGAGAGCCUGAACCAGCCAAGUAGCGUGCAGGAAGACGGCCCUAUGGGUUGUAAACUGCCUUUAUAAGGGAAUAAAGUGAGCCUCGUGAGGCUUUUUGCAUGUACCUUAUGAAUAAGGACCGGCUAAUUCCGUGCCAGCAGCCGCGGUAAUACGGAAGGUCCGGGCGUUAUCCGGAUUUAUUGGGUUUAAAGGGAGCGUAGGCCGGAGAUUAAGCGUGUUGUGAAAUGUAGAUGCUCAACAUCUGCACUGCAGCGCGAACUGGUUUCCUUGAGUACGCACAAAGUGGGCGGAAUUCGUGGUGUAGCAGUGAAAUGCUUAGAUAUCACGUAGAACUCCGAUUGCGAAGGCAGCUCACUGGAGCGCAACUGACGCUGAAGCUCGAAAGUACGGGUAUCGAACAGGAUUAGAUACCCUGGUAGUCCGCACGGUAAACGAUGGAUGCCCGCUGUUGGUCUGAAUAGGUCAGCGGCCAAGCGAAGCAUUAAGCAUCCCACCUGGGGAGUACGCCGGCA